This 451-nucleotide ribosomal RNA is filed under the name Suzukiozyma palmioleophila. RNAcentral's name for it is "[Candida] palmioleophila partial large subunit ribosomal RNA". It matches the Rfam family "Eukaryotic large subunit ribosomal RNA", at positions 122 to 581 of the family's 3401-position model. The record is from RNAcentral. Lineage: Eukaryota; Fungi; Ascomycota; Pichiomycetes; Serinales; Debaryomycetaceae.
CUGGCACCUUCGGUGUCCGAGUUGUAAUUUGAAGAAGGUAACCUUGGGGUUGGCUCUUGUCUAUGUUUCUUGGAACAGAACGUCACAGAGGGUGAGAAUCCCGUGCGAUGAGAUGCCCAAUUCUAUGUAAGGUGCUUUCGAAGAGUCGAGUUGUUUGGGAAUGCAGCUCUAAGUGGGUGGUAAAUUCCAUCUAAAGCUAAAUAUUGGCGAGAGACCGAUAGCGAACAAGUACAGUGAUGGAAAGAUGAAAAGAACUUUGAAAAGAGAGUGAAAAAGUACGUGAAAUUGUUGAAAGGGAAGGGUAUGAGAUCAGACUUGGUGUUUUGCAACCUUACUCUCGGGUGGGGCCCCUGCAGUUCAUCGGGCCAGCAUCAGUUUGGAUGGUAGGAUAAUGGCAUUGGAAUGUAGCUUGGCUUCGGUUAAGUGUUAUAGCCUUUGUUGAUACUGCCUG